This 401-nucleotide ribosomal RNA is filed under the name uncultured bacterium. RNAcentral describes it as "bacterial SSU rRNA". It matches the Rfam family "Bacterial small subunit ribosomal RNA", at positions 29 to 416 of the family's 1533-position model. The record is from RNAcentral.
AACGAACGUUAGCGGCGCGCUUAACACAUGCAAGUCGCACGAGAAAGGGCUUCGGCCCCGGUAAAGUGGCGCACGGGUGAGUAACACGUGGGUAAUCCUCCCUAUGGCGGGGGAUAACCUUCCGAAAGGAGGGCUAAUACCGCAUAAGACCACGGACUCGAAAGAGUCUGCGGUUAAAGCCGGCCUCUAUACAUAAGCUGGCACCAGAGGAUGAGCCCGCGGCCCAUCAGGUAGUUGGUAGGGAAUGGCCUACCAAGCCUAAGACGGGUAGCUGGUCUGAGAGGAUGAUCAGCCACACUGGAACUGAGACACGGUCCAGACUCCUACGGGAGGCAGCAGUGGGGAAUCUUGCGCAAUGGGCGAAAGCCUGACGCAGCGACGCCGCGUGGGUGAUGAAGGCC